Molecule: unclassified non-coding RNA, 309 nt
Filed under: Hevea brasiliensis (rubber tree)
Lineage: Eukaryota; Viridiplantae; Streptophyta; Magnoliopsida; Malpighiales; Euphorbiaceae
Source: RNAcentral
GGCGAAUUCUAUCCUCGCCGGGGCGGUGCUAGACGGGAGAUCAUACGUUGCGAGCAUCGUCGAAUUCGGCGGCGUCGGUGACGGGGAGACGCUUAACACGGAGGCGUUCCGUGCGGCGGUGGAGAAUCUGAGCAAGUACGCUGGCUACGGCGGCGCGGCGCUGGUGAUUCCGGCGGGACGGUGGCUGACGGGGCCGUUCAAUCUGACGAGUUGCUUCACGCUUUAUCUGGAGUGCGACGCCGUGAUUCUUGCUUCUCAGGACAUGGAGCAGUACCCCAUUAUCGCCCCCCUCCCAUCCUACGGCAGAGG